RNAcentral lists this ribosomal RNA (301 nucleotides) under uncultured bacterium. RNAcentral's name for it is "partial 16S ribosomal RNA". It matches the Rfam family "Bacterial small subunit ribosomal RNA", at positions 509 to 808 of the family's 1533-position model. The record is from RNAcentral.
CAGUAGCCGCGGUAAUACGUAGGUCCCGAGCGUUGUCCGGAUUUAUUGGGCGUAAAGCGAGCGCAGGCGGUUAGAUAAGUCUGAAGUUAAAGGCUGCGGCUUAACCAUAGUACGCUUUGGAAACUGUUUAACUUGAGUGCAAGAGGGGAGAGUGGAAUUCCAUGUGUAGCGGUGAAAUGCGUAGAUAUAUGGAGGAACACCGGUGGCGAAAGCGGCUCUCUGGCUUGUAACUGACGCUGAGGCUCGAAAGCGUGGGGAGCAAACAGGAUUAGAUACCCCGGUAGUCCCUGUCUCUUAUACA